Pogona vitticeps (central bearded dragon) is the source of this 800-nucleotide non-coding RNA. Lineage: Eukaryota; Metazoa; Chordata; Lepidosauria; Squamata; Agamidae. The record is from RefSeq and is a predicted model, not a curated record.
CAUGCAGAGGUGCUUUUUCCCUUGCUCUGGACUUUGUGGCAGGAAAACGACUUCAGCAGCUUUACAAGAGGAGAGAGAUCAGCUCCACAAAAAUUAUUUUAGACCUAUGCCAGCAGCUGCCCAACACACUCAAAUAAAGCCCCAAAUGGAGCGUGGGCCUCCUGAGAAAAACUGCAACCUAUUUCUCAAGCGGCCAGGACGAGGUCCGGAUGAAAGCUGUGAAAUUUCAGCGGCGCUUUUGCAGAGUAUCCCGGUGACUGAGAUAGAAGACAAGACCCUGCAUCUUCUUCUGACUGAACGCUCAGAGCCAGCAUGGCCAUCCCAUCCGGACAAAGGUAGCCCAAGGGAGAACGCUGGCAAGCUCUAGUCCUGCAGCAUCGAUGGAAUGAGCCCUUUUGAAGGCCCCCAGUUCACAUGGUUUCCUUAAUGACCCAGUCAUUAGGGAGAGGCUGGUGAUUCCUAGGCACUUCAUGGCUCUGGACUCCUUCCUUGCCAUUGUUUUCAGGUGGUGGGCUUCAAAACGGUUUCUCUGACAUGAAGGCAACACCACGAUGCCAAGCAAUGAAGAACAGAGGAUUUCCGAAGAACAGAAUGACCCCCAGCAGGAUUUUAGGAGCGACCCAUAUCUGCCACCUGUACAAUACAGGACUGUCCCUUGCAUUUUUUCCAUCACCUAGAGGUGGGAGAUGCUUGCUCAUCAAAUCACAGCCUCGAGGAUGAACCAACCCACCCUGUCAACUAAGACUAGAAAGUUAUGAAUUUUUAUUUACAUUUGCGAGAAAGCUUUGCCCCUUUCCUAG